This 392-nucleotide ribosomal RNA is filed under the name uncultured bacterium. RNAcentral's name for it is "bacterial SSU rRNA". It matches the Rfam family "Bacterial small subunit ribosomal RNA", at positions 29 to 422 of the family's 1533-position model. The record is from RNAcentral.
AUUGAACGCUGGCGGCAUGCCUUACACAUGCAAGUCGAACGGCAGCACGGGGGCAACCCUGGUGGCGAGUGGCGAACGGGUGAGUAAUGCAUCGGAACGUGCCCCGUAGCGGGGGAUAACCAGUCGAAAGACUGGCUAAUACCGCAUACGCUCCACGGAGGAAAGCAGGGGAUCGCAAGACCUUGCACUAUGGGAGCGGCCGAUGCCCGAUUAGCUAGUUGGUGAGGUAAAGGCUCACCAAGGCGACGACGGGUAGCCGGCCUGAGAGGGCGACCGGCCACACUGGGACUGAGACACGGCCCAGACUCCUACGGGAGGCAGCAGUGGGGAAUCUUGCGCAAUGGGCGAAAGCCUGACGCAGCGACGCCGCGUGAGGGAUGACGGCCUGGUGU